This is a long non-coding RNA of Argiope bruennichi, 297 nucleotides long. RefSeq lists it as uncharacterized. The record is from RefSeq and is a predicted model, not a curated record. NCBI's taxonomy places the organism in Eukaryota, Metazoa, Arthropoda, Arachnida, Araneae, Araneidae. The transcript is spliced from 3 exons.
GUUGUACUUAACCUAGUGUUCAAGGGUAUGAAAUAUAAACUUUCGGUUUUUGUGCAUAUCUGUUUAGAGGAUGGUUAAUUUCAAUUUGAGGAAUCCAUGAACGAAAGUGAUGCCCCUCAUAGGAAAACAUCCCUGGUUUGAAUUCUUGCCAGAAGAUGACCCUUGAAAAAGUUUUCAGGCUUGUACCUCAGGUUUCCCCACUUCCUGUCAAAUGUUUUUCAUUCUAGAGAAAAUUUGAUGAACAGAGUAACAAGUGAAAAAAAAAAUAAUAAAGAAAAGUUGGAAAGUGGCUAUAAA